Molecule: RNA transcript, 12955 nt
Organism: Gigantopelta aegis
Lineage: Eukaryota; Metazoa; Mollusca; Gastropoda; Neomphalida; Peltospiridae
Gene name: misshapen-like kinase 1
Exons: 33
Source: RefSeq, a predicted model, not a curated record
AAUUUGCACCAAAGAGUGAGUAUGGCCGUUUAGAAAAUAUCGGCAGACAAUAUUUCCCACAAUGCAUUGCAGGUCACACUUGGUUGAGUUUUGACUGUAAAUAGUUGGAUAUGGUGUGGUUUAGGUCUAAUUUUGGAGCUUUUAACGUAGGAUUUCCACUUUGAGUUGGCAAUUAAAGAAGUUAUUCAUAUAUCAAGGAAGAGUAUGAGAAAUUUUAGCUUCCAGAUCAGCCGCGAUUUUAUAAUAUAGACAGUUGAACUCGAAGGAAGCUGUUUUCGAUGCUGAUUAAAUCACAAAAUGGCGACAACUUCAGUGAACGUCAGUUUAGAUGAUAUAGACCUGUCAAGUCUCAGGGACCCUGCAGGGAUAUUUGAUCUGAUAGAAGUGGUGGGAAAUGGCACGUAUGGCCAAGUAUACAAGGGUCGACACACGAAGACCGGACAGCUAGCGGCCAUUAAGGUUAUGAAUGUAACUGAGGAGGAAGAGGAAGAGAUAAAAUUGGAAAUCAACGUGCUCAAAAAAUAUUCCCAUCAUCGGAACAUUGCAACUUACUAUGGUGCUUUCAUCAAGAAGGGUCCGCCUGGAAAAGAUGACCAGUUGUGGCUUGUCAUGGAGUUUUGUGGUGCUGGUUCUGUUACCGAUCUAGUCAAAGCUACAAAGGGAAGCUGUUUGAAAGAAGAAUGGAUAGCCUACAUCUGUAGAGAGAUACUGCGAGGUCUAGCACAUCUGCAUGGAAACCGAGUCAUUCACCGUGACAUCAAGGGCCAGAAUGUUCUACUAACAGACAACGCAGAAGUCAAACUAGUUGAUUUUGGAGUUAGUGCCCAGUUAGAUAAAACCAUUGGUAGAAGAAAUACAUUUAUAGGAACUCCAUAUUGGAUGGCGCCAGAAGUGAUUGCCUGUGACGAAAACACAGAUGCUACUUAUGAUAAUAGGAGUGAUCUGUGGUCCCUGGGAAUAACUGCAAUAGAAAUGUCUGAAGGGAAGCCUCCUCUCUGUGAUAUGCAUCCAAUGCGAGCCUUGUUUCUCAUCCCGCGGAACCCGCCGCCUCGGCUGAAGAAUCCCACCAAGUGGUCAAGUAAAUUUCAUAAUUUUGUCGAGACGUGUCUGAUCAAAGAUUACACGCAGCGACCGAACACAGAACAACUGCUGAAGCAUCCAUUCAUUCGCGACCAGCCGACCGAGCGCCAGGUCCGCAUUCAGCUCAAAGACCACAUCGACAGACACAAAAAGAACAGAAAAGGCGAUGACCAUGACACGGAGUACGAGUGGGAAGGAAGCGACAACGAUGAAGAUGAAGAAACUGUGCCAGGAGAGCCAAGCUCUAUCUUACAAAUCCCUGGCGAGUCAACCCUCAAGCGAAACUUCCAGCAGAUCCAGGAGCGAGAGUCGAGGAGCAGCAACCAGGCGCGGCACGCUCAACCGAGGCAGCAGGAGAGACAGCGGCAUCACCACCCCCGGCCGCAGUCGUCACACCAGCAACAACCACAACAACCACAUCGGCCUCCUUCUAGUCACUACAACCCACAUGCCAAUGCACAAGAUCAAAUACCGAAACAGUUCCCUGUACAGUCCAGGCUCAUAGUGAUGCCUGACCCGAAGAACCCCAGUUCUGGAGCGGGUCACCCCAUGCAGUCUGAUCAACGAGCCCCCGGAAUGUUCGGAGGGGUUAAUAAACCCGAGGACCUGGAGAGAUUAGCUGCUCACCUCACGAAGAUGGGGGCGGAGGAGCGCCAAGCACGCACUGUGAUCAUGGAGGAUGAAAACAGUGACGACGAUGACGAAGAUGAUGAUGAAAUCAAUCGUGAUGGAACUCUUCCAGCCUCCGAACCCGCCAGACCUUUACCACCUCAGCAUAUGGUCUCUAGCUACUCACAUCCUUCCGGGCAGUUUACAGACGACACGUUAGAAACAAUGUCCUCCAUGGUAAUACAUGAAGACGCACCCCCAGCACAGGUUCACGGCAAUGCCAACUUUGCCAAAUUGAAUGAUGACGACGGAGAAAAUACUCUAGUUGCCAGAAGGAAUAAGUCUGACCCAGCGUUUCAGGAAGCGGAGAGGUACAAGGACCGUCGUAUCGACCGCGAGCCGGCGCGGAACAGCGCCAAGCCCCCACUACAGCACAUACACCGUACACAGUCUGGGUCCUCCAACCUGUCAGCACCAGGCGCUUUAGGUGUGCGGUCUCCACGACACAGCGCCAGCAGCAGCGUGCUGCCCGACUUGCUUCCUCCACACACCCCACCACAGUCGAGAUCCCCCCCAACGCCACAGCGGCCCCAGGACAAGACCACGUCAGAUGAGUAUCGACAGGCUGUCAGCAAACAACCGUCGAUGCGGCAUCAGCGUUCAUUCUCGGCGUUUGGUUUCGGCGCCGCCAGCGGAACAACGGUAGACUCGAUAUCCCAGCAGUCUCGGCGCGGGUCACAGAUCAACGUGAAUGUGACGCCCUCACAGACGACGGAGACGACGGGAGACACGCCGGAGAUUCGCAAAUACAAGAAACGAUUCGGAUCCGACAUCUUGUGCGCGGCUUUGUGGGGCGUGAACUUGCUGAUUGGUACAGAAAAUGGUCUCAUGUUGUUAGAUCGGAGCGGUCAAGGGAAAGUGUACACGCUGAUCUCGCGGCGGAGGUUCCAGCAGAUGGAGGUGCUGGAGGGUCAGAACAUCCUGGUGACGAUCUCCGGCAAGAAGAGCAAGAUCCGAGUCUACUACCUGUCCUGGCUGAAGAGCAAGAUCUUGAAGAACGAAGGCAAUGACAAGAAAAAUGGAUGGGUGAAUGUUGGUGAAUUGGAGGGCUGUGUGCAUUUUAAAAUAGUGAAGUACGAAAGAAUCAAGUUUCUGGUGAUAGCGUUACAAGACAGUAUUGAGAUCUAUGCAUGGGCUCCCAAACCCUACCACAAGUUCAUGGCCUUCAAGUCUUUUCCCGAGCUGGCUCACAAACCGCUACUAGUUGAUCUCACGGUAGAAGAAGGACUGAGGUUAAAGGUCAUCUACGGCUCUAAUAUGGGAUUUCACGCCAUUGACCUCGACACGUCAUCAAACUUCGAUUUAUACAUUCCUUCACAUUUACACGUGGAUGACGGCACUUCCACUCUGCGCAGUGGUAGUGUCGCCUUCUAUGUUAACCAGAGUCAAGGUCCAAUCAGCCCACACACGAUAGUUAUUCUGCCAAACACAAAUGGUCUGCAGCUGUUGCUAUGUUACGACAACGAGGGUGUGUACGUGGACACGAAUGGGAAGAUCACGAAGAACGUGGUGCUACAGUGGGGAGAGCUGCCCACCUCCCCUACAUCAGCACGGGUCAGAUAAUGGGGUGGGGUAACAAGGCGAUCGAGAUCCGCUCUGCCGAGACUGGUCACCUGGACGGAGUUUUCAUGCACAAGAAGGCGCAGAAACUCAAAUUCUUGUGUGAAAGAAACGACAAGGUGUUCUUCUCGUCGGUGCGGUCCGGGUCGUCGUGUCAGAUUUACUUCAUGACGCUGAGCAAGCCGGGCCUCGCCAACUGGUGAUGACAUCCAUCGCCGUGACGACAUCUGUCGUCAUGACACUCACACUCUUAACGCUUUAUUAUCGGCCUGUGAUCUUACAGUGCUGCAGGAAUAAAACAAAAAAACUGCAGUCGAGCUGUCGUCUUAAUACUCUCAUCCCAGUAUGAUGUGAAAACAUUCGUGUCGUCACUUCAUCCCAGUAUGAUGUGAACACAUUCGUGUCGUCACUUCAUCCCAGUAUGAUGUGAACACAUUCGUGUCGUCACUUGCCACAGUAUAUCAGCAUGAAAUCACUGGACCGCCUUUUUCUCAGGCGGCUGGUGCGAUAAACAUUAUAAUCAUUGAGAUGAUGUCAGAAAUGCCAUAAAGACUUGCUUUUUUUAAACUAUCAGCAUUAAACCAUUGCAUGAUCUGAACAUGAUGGCUUGCUUCAGGGUACAUCACUAAUUAAAAAGGAAAUGAUCUGAACAGAUUCAUGUCUUCACUUGCCCUUGUGUACUGACGUGAUGCAAUAGUUUCAGGUGGCUGGUGUAAUAAACAUUAUAAUUAUUGAGAUGUCAGAAAUGCCAUAAAGAAUUUCUUUUUUUGUUCAUAUCGGCAUGAAACCAUUGGAUGACAGCAACACGAUGACUUGCUUCAGGGUACAUCAUAAUUACAUCAAAUUAUCUGAACACAUACAUGUCACUUGUCGUCAUAUCUCGGCAUGAAACCAUUGGAUGACAGCAACACGAUGACUUGCUUCAGGGUACAUCAUAAUUACAUCAAAUUAUCUGAACACAUACAUGUCACUUGUCGUCAUAUCUCGGCAUGAAACCAUUGGAUGACCUGCAACAUGAUGGCUGGCAUCAGGGUACAUCAUAAUUACAUCAAAUGAUCUGAACACAUACAUGUCACUUGUCGUAUCUCGGCAUGAAACCAUUGGAUGACCUGCAACAUGAUGGCUGGCAUCAGGGUACAUCAUAAUUAAGCUACAAAUUAUCUGAACACACGUCAUCACUUGCCGUUAUAUAUCGACAUGAAACUAUUGCAUCACCUUUUCGGAUAGCUGAUUCAACAGACAUCAUAAUUAAGGUGACAGAAAUGUCAUAGUGACUUGAUUUUCUUUGUUUGCAUAAAAACCAUGGGAAUUACCUUUUCGUGAUGGCUAACUUCAGCAGACAUUGUAAUCGAGAUGCCAAAAAUACCGGAGUGACUUGGCUUUUUUUCAUAUCGGCAUGAAACCAUUGGAUCACAUUUUUCAUGACAGCUAACUGCUGUAGACAUCAUCAUAGUUAAGAUGGUGAGAGAAAAAAACGGUUCUUGCCCUCAUAUGCACAUGUAUAUAUCAGCGUGAAGUCAUAGUUUCGUGACAGUUGAUUCCAGCAGACAUUAUAAUGAAGAUUCAGUUGGAAAUACCAUAAUGACUUUCUUAUUUUACAUCGGCAUGAAACCAUUGGGUCACCUUUUUUUCGUGAAAGCUAGUUUCAGCAGACAUCCUGAUUAAGGUGUCGAAAAUAACACAAGGCUCCAUACCGUACUGUUCUGUACACAAUACUGUAUGGACUCGUAUUUUUAUAGUGGAAUGAAACCAUUGUGUCAUCUUUUUGUUACAGCUAGCGUGAACAGAUAUCGUAAUUAAGAUAUGAGAAAUACUUGCUUGUAUCUAAAAGCAUGAAACCAGUGCCAGCAGUAGAUCACCUUUCCGGGUUGGAAAUAUCAUAAUGACUUGCUUUUAGUACACCAGCAUGAAACCAGUGGAUCACCCUUUUGUUAAUCAUAAUUAAGAUGCCAGAAAUACCAUAGGACUCUUUAAGAAAUCAACACAAUCAAGAGUCAGAUAGUCAUUGUCUAAUUUUUUAUUUGUGUGUAUAAAAGCUGGGUGUGAUCGUCUUAUUUUCAUAUCUAGUUACAAGAGACAUGAAAAUAAUUUGUUUUUAAAUUAUCACAUACUCUUUUUAAAAAAACCUGUACCACAGUUAUGCAGCCAUUUCUGUUCUCUUUCUUGUCUGGCAAAGAUGAAAACAUUACUUGAUUGGUAAGACUCGAUGGAGUCAUCUUUAGAUAGCUAACAUCGAGGGACAUUGUUAUAAAGGUAAUGGAAUUACCAUGAUGUUCUAACCAUACCAGGAUCCACAGUUAAACAACUAUUUUUUUUUUUUUCACUGCUAAGGGUUUGUCAGGAUUGAAAUGCUCCAUAAUAACAGCUUGUAAUUAGAAGGCUGAGAAAGACCCAAAUCUGGACUUGAAAGUAAAAGUAUUAUAAACACAGGCCUUGAUCUGUUGACGUCUUCCCAGUUCAGAAACGGUCCAGACAUUUGAUCUGUUGACGUGUUCCCAGUUCAGAAACGGUCCAGACAUUUGAUCUGUUGACGUCUGCCCAGUUCAGGACCGGUCCAGACACUUGAUAUGUUGACGUCUGCCCAGUUCAGAAACAGUCCAGACACUUGAUCUGUUGACGUCUGCCCAGUUCAGGACCGGUCCAGACACUUGAUCUGUUGACGUCUGCCAAGUUCAGGAACAGUCCAGACACUUGAUCUGUUGUCGUCUACUCAGUUCAGGACCGGUCCAGACACUUGAUCUGUUGACGUCUGCCAAGUUCAGAAACAGUCCAGACACUUGAUCUGUUGACGUCUGCCCAGUUCAGGACCGGUCCAGACACUUGAUCUGUUGACGUCUGCCAAGUUCAGAAACAGUCCAGACACUUGAUCUGUUGACUGUCAUGUAGUUCCUUAAAGCACCAGAAAGUAUCUUAAAAACUUAAGGUAAAAUAUGUUUGUGAGAUAAUUAAUUUUUAAGUUGUCCAGUUCAGUCAAGUCAUGAGUUUCUUGUAGCAUCAAAAGUUUGAAAUGCAUUAUCUUAAAAAGAUUUUUUUUUUUUUGUCUCAACCUUUGAGGUGAUGUAACAAACACUGGAUUAAAAAUACUCUUUUUUAAGUCUGCCUUGUCCCUGGACCACUACACAUUCAAUUGCAUCAUUUAGUGCUGUGUUUGUAUUAGAUAUAUUUUAUAACAUUUCAUGCUUACCUAGGGGUUACUGGUGAGGAAUUGUUUAGAAAAAGAACAAAAGUACUUUUGUUAACACUUUCUGUACAUUUUUUAUUAUUAUUAAUAAAAGUUUUUUUUUUUUAUAUAGAUUGUGUUUUAUUUGUAAAGUAAUAUUUGUGUUGUGUAAUUGGUACACUUAUACAGUGGGGGGGGGGGGGGGGGGUUCUAUUGUUUCUGUUUUACAAAUUCCUUUAACAUGUCUUAUGCCCCUUGCCACUGACUUUUUAUAGGGAUCCUGUGUUUAAAAAAAGAAAGAAAAAAGAUUGUUGUUCUUUUGUGCAAAUCACAAUUUUGGGGGGUUCAGUGCUGGAACAGCCCCUGGUGAACUGAUUUGGGGUUUUCCUGUUCCAUUUGAUUUUCCAUAGGGCUUAAGAUUCACAAAUUUGAAUAAAACAGAUUUUGGUGGGUGGUGGUGUCUGUUUUGAGCACAGUGAGGUCUUUUCGUUAUCACAGUAGUAAUAUAUACAGCUGCUGUGAGUUGUGUGUAUUCAGAAAUGAAUUUCAACUUAUUUUUAAUCUUCAUUAAAACUUAACAAGUCAGUGGUUUUGGGGAACUCUUUUUAUUAUUUAGUUUACCUCUUUUAUUUUAUACAAUUUUUAUAACUUGUGUCUUAUGAUUUUUAAAACAAAUCUAUAUGAAUGUAAUUUUUUAUUUUCCCUCACCCCAGAAGAAAUCUAGGAGGCCAUUUGGCCUCUUAGUAACUCACCCGUUGCAAUGUAUUCAAUGCAAUAUGAUUUUUUAACGGUAGAUUGACUGUGUAUUUGGCAAUAGCCCACUUGUAAAAUAUGACCUUUUUCUUUUUAACUUGCAUGUUAUUGAAUUUGCUUAUUACAUUGCAGCCCCUGUUUUUAUGAUUUUCAUGUUUGUAGCUGUGAUUUGAUCUCGUUCAUUUAUUUGUUUAUUUUAAUAUUUUAGUUUUGCGCUUUUCCAGAAAUGAUCACAUGUGAUGGGGAGUUUCAGGGUGGGGGGGGGGGUGAAGGUUGUGAGCAAGGCAACCAUUGUUUUAAGUGUCAUGUCUGCUUAAAUGGGUGGGGUUUUGGGGGUAUAUGAUAUUUUAAUUUUUUUUAGCUUGGUUGAUUGAGUGCUCACUUGAUGUGCUUGCGUCACAGGAUCGAACCACCUCGGUGGAUCCAUUCAAUUGAUUGUGUUUUUUCUCAUUCCAACCAGUGCACCACAACUGGUUAAAAGCUGUGGUAUGUGCUUUCCGUUUGGUAUGAAAGUGCAUAUAAACGUUCCCUAGCUGUAGCGAGUCUCCUCUGAUGACUAUGAGUAACCAAAUGUUUGACAUCCAAUAACCGAUGAUUAAUCAAUGUGCUUUAGUGGUGUCGUUAAACAAAACAAACAUUAACCUUUUUAACUACAAUCCUUUAAGGAAUCGCUUUCAUAUUUGGUAUGGAUGUUCAUCAAAUGAUGGACCACACAACUUGCCUUAUAAACUUGACCCCAGGACAAGGACAAUGUCACAGUCACGGUUAUUCAGAAUACUGGAAAUGGUUGAAAUUUUUCCAAUUGCUCCUGAAUCCUUAAUGAAUGGCUUUCAUAUUUGGUUGAAAUUUUCACAGAGUUAUAAAUAGUCUUUUAAUUGCACACUGCCACUCACAGAAAUGUAACAAAAAGAGGCAUUUUUAUGUAUUUAUUUUGAAGUCUUUUAAAGCUGUUAGGCAAACUAUUGUUAUUAUGUCUUACAGAGAGUGAAGAUGCCCUAUUAUCAUGUGGUUAUUUCUGGUACAGCAUUUGGCAUUGCAGGGUAAAAUUAGUCACACAAAUUAUUUAUUAUACUGCAAUACACUUCAUACUAAUCGAACAAAAUCAUUCUAAUAGCAAACAUGUUUAUUCCAACUUGUUCGUGUUACCUUUGUGGUUUCCAAUGUUUGGCAGCCAUAUAAUUGAAGUACAUGUAGUUAAUUAAUAUCGUACAAAAAUCAAAAUUGAUAUUAGUGCUAUUUUAUGGUGUGGAGUAUAGUUUUAAUUUUUGAUCAUUUGAUAAAAACGUGGGAUAUUUUUUUUUUUAUGUACCUUAUAUCUGCCCAACGCCAUAUAACCGCAAAUGAAAUGUGUUGAGUGCAUCAUUAAAUAAAACAUUUCCUUAUAUCCGCCAUACAUUGAGUUGAUACCAGCACUCCAUGACGUGAUGAACAAAGAUUGCAGUGUUACGAAACUUUUACAAGCCUGGGUUUUGUGCCUAAUGUUAAAUGAAUAGAACAGGAAAGGAAUUCGUCAGAUCGUUGGCAAUCGGAUGGAGCAUCUGUCACAGAAAACUUUGUAGGGCUACCUCGAGGUGAGGAGAAAUAUUCAACAAAUUAUCUACUAAAGUUCAAAAAUUUCACACAAAAAAUUGUUAAAUGAAGUUAUUUCGCCAAAUUAAAAUCAGUUUUGUGAACUGUUUGUAAUAUUUGUAGUUUGCAAACUUGGUGAGUGCCAGAGCUCGCCCGCUUUGCAUUAAGUGACCUGUAUUUUGUUAAUAAGGCCUCAGUUGUGUCGUGGUUAGGCCAUCAGACAUGAGGCUGGUAGGUACUAGGUUCACAGCCCGGUACCGGCUCUCACCCAGAGCAAGUUUUAACGACCAAUGGCUAGGUGUAAGACCACUACACCCUUUUCUCUCUCACUAACAAUUAACCAUCUGUCCGGGACAGACAGCCCAGAUAGCUGAGGCGUGUGUGCCCAGGACAGUGUGCUUGAACCUUACUUGGAUAUAAGCACGGAAAUAAGUUGAUAUGAAAUUAAAUAAGGGCAGGUUGAUUAGAAACUCCAACAUGGCUGCUGUACAGUGAUCGUGAUACUGGUGUAUUGUCAUUUCUCCUGAUUCAUCAUCACUGCAGGUUUCUCUCUGACCACUACAUAAGAAUCUCAGCUGUUAUUUAAUCAAAGGUGGUUGGUGGGGGGGGGGGGGAUCUAGUAGUCAGCAGGACCAGAUGCAGGGGUUUUCGGGGGGGGGGGGGGUGCAAAUAGGGUCCUACAGUGUUCCAGAUUACAUUAACAUACCUUAUUAUAUGUGAUAAUAUAUUACAGGAAAACCUAUUCAACUAAGAUACUACAUCUGCACCCCCUAAAUCCCACGACCCCCAAAUAUGAAUUUUAUACAUUCUAGAUUUUGGAGGCACUUCAAGGGGGCGGGGAGUUGCACACUCCUUGAAUCUGUGCCUGUCAAACUUGCUACAAGCAGCCACCUGUCUAAAAAGGCCACUUGUCAAAUUCAUCUUAUAUAUUAACCUUUAAUAAGUGUACCUUGUAUCAUGACCACCUAUCUAUAAUGGGCAUUUUAGAAAUAUAUAGCUUUGUGGGUCUCCUGGUUAGCUUUUGUGUGGACCCCAUCUAAGCCAGGUUUUUCUCUGGCUGCUUCAAUUCGAAUUUGACUGUAUAUUGUUAUGCAAAUAGUUAUUUUAUGUUUGUACAUAAAAGACCAAAAUAUCAAAUCACUAUCCACGUUUGCUUGUCUUUGUAAUGUACAUGUCUUCUGUAUAUACUGUACAUAGAUGUCAUUUGUAUUUUCAAAGUAUAUUUCUCAAAAUAUAUGUAUUUAUUCAAAGUGGACAAACAUACACACACACAAAAUGUCAUUGUCCAAAACUUUUUGUACACUUUUUAUUUCAUUCUGUAUCCUUCUCUCAUUGACAAACUAGGCUCUGGUUUUCGUCUCGUCUCAAUACAGUCUUAAGGCAAGAAAUAAUUAUUACUUUUACGACGGUGGCAACUUUUUAUAUUCCUCCGAUAUUAAGUUUUCACAUUUAGCAUGAUUUAGGUGGAAUUCUCACAGACUACAAGUAUAAGUCGUACAUCAGUAAAACAGGGUUUGUAGUUCUAUAUACGAAUGUUCAUCUCGGUGAAUAUCAACAAAAACAUUUAUUUAUUGAAGUAAACAAAUAUAUCAGGGGUCGAAAUUGUCUGAACUGUCUGCCGAAUAUUCGGUCUGGCAGGCUAAAAAUUUUGCUGGCCUGAAUGAAAACCUGCCAAACCAAACAAUAUUGACUCUGGCUAAUGUGUGAAUAUAAAUGUCAAAUAAUUCUGCUCUGAAGGGACGACAGGCAAGCAAAUUUCCCAGGCUGUGGCGAUGUUAACUGGGGCAAAAAAAACGGUUUGGACGCAGAAAAAACCAGUUUGGAUGGUAGUAUUUUAACCACUGUAUAUAUACAUGUACAUAUAAUUUUGAAUGUUAUAUUGCAAAUUAUUUCUCUAUUCACCAAAUAGUUUAUGGUAGGUGAGACAUUGAUUUUCAGUUUUGUUUUUUGUUAGGUGAGAAUAAUGUCAUUUUCACACGUCUCUGUUUUUAGUAUUUAUGAAGCAUUCUGUUCAAGGGAGAUUAUCUAUCAUUAUGCUGACUGUUUAUCACACGAUUUCAAAAAAAUUGUAUUAAUUUUUAAUUUUAUAUUUAAAUUUUAUUUAUUUUUUGUAUUGUCAGUACGUUUACGGAAAACUAAAUUGUCAAUACUUUUGCAGAAAAACUAAUGUGUAUUUCAUUUCAGUUAAUUGACCGUUUGUCAUCACGUGUUGCAGGGUGUUAUCUGGAUUGUCUCCCCUGAUUUGUACAUUAGUAGGCUUGCACUACCUGUAUUGUGAUAUUACUUACAUUUUUUUAUAUGAGAUUUUAAGUGCAAUCAUCUUUACAAGCUAAAACUUGUAAUCCACUGACUCGCUGUGCAAACCUCCAUGUAUCUCGUGCAGCCAGUGGUUUCUCUGUUGGGGGACGGGUGUUUGUUGUAUCUCUCGUUUUUAAACAACUCUUUUUAUGUCUUCCAUUUGAAUUGGUUUCUUUGAUGAUUUUUAACAACCAGCCACCAAGAUACUCUUGGUUCUGUUCACCUACACCAGUAAACUGAACUUUAGACACUGUCAUCUAUCUGUCAUUUAUCUGUCGUUUAUCGGUUUCUCCUGCUAGAGGCCUUUCAUAAUUGUUCCAUUAUAAUAAUAAUAAUAAUAAAUUCUUUAUUUAGUGAGGGUAACACAGUUAGCAAAAGCUAAUCUUCCCUGAGGCCCUCAGGUACAAACAAUACAGAAUUACAAUGCAUACAUUUAUGAACAAAUAGAAAAUACAUAUAUGGCAAUAAACAUAUGUACAAAUGAUAUUAUUUUAGAAAAUAUUUCUUGAGUCUAUAUUUAAAAACAGCAGUAUUUGGCGAUGAUCGGAUAGCACCGAUCAUCAUUAUUACCACCUUGGAGACUGAACUCUGGGAUGAGGGGGUACUAUUUUAAAAAGAAAACAAUAUACAUCAUUAAAACAAAUUGUUCCUUGCUAAAGUAUCAUUUUCUUUACGGUAUUGAAAUGUGACAGUGACCAAGGUGGGGGGAGGGGGGGGGGGCUAUACUGGUAUAUUAAUUUGAUUUACAAGUGGGGGUGUAAAUGCAUUGUCUUCAAUAGUGGGGGGAGACGAAGGACCUUUAAUCCCUUCCCUACCGCUUCCAGCGCUAAUGAUUUUUUUUUUCAUGUAAACUUUUAGAAAAAUUAUGAACAGCCUCUUAGCAGAUACCUAUUAUUAUAAUUAUCAUACAUUUGUAUCAACAAAAACUUGCUGUUGCGUUCUCAAGAUUUGUUCCUAGUCAUUUAUGUUGUCUGAUUCAAGGAGACUUCAUGGUGUUUCAAGAUGAAAUACAGAUGGUAUGUCACAUCGACACUAAUUCAGUACGACGCCAUCUACCUGUGAAUACACCAGUACUGGCAAGACAAUUAUCUGAACGUGUCAGUUAAAUGAAUACAGAUUAUGUUUACUAUUGAUCAGCAUUGCAGAUGUCUGCAAGGUUUGCACUGCAUUCUGGGACAGUAUAUGAUUAAAAAGGCUAUCAAGUUUCAAACUAAUAUAAAUAUUUCCUAUUCGUAAAGGAAAAUAUAAUUUUAAAAAUCCAUUAAUUAAAAACAUUGUCUCUUAAAAUAAACUAUUUCUUGACCGUGCUUAGUUUGAUAGGAAUAACUAGGAUGUAAUCCUGUGUGCAUCCCAGUGCUUUCAUUUAUGCAAGAAGAAUGUGCCAGUGCAUAAUACACGUUUCUCGACAAACUGCCUUGUGCACCUCCAUUGCCAUCGGUACACAGUGCCACUAGUAGGCUAUAUUUAACCUUUAAACCAUUGGCUCUAAUAAUUGUUACAAGCUAUUCCGCAAACGACCAUAAGAUGGCAAGGGAUGACUUUUUCUCAAUACUGGAUACUCCAGGAAUAAAGUAAUUUGGGAUUAUGAGUAAGAACAAAUAUUUCUUAAAGAUUCUCCCAUCUAUAAAAUAAUUACUCGUUUGCCAAUCCCACCCAUGGUAUGGUCAUUUGUGGAAUAGGUUUAAAUCACAGCAUCUCUGAAGUGGUUGACAUUAAUAGUAAGAGAUCAUGAACUGAUUACACAGUUAAACGAACCCAGCUUUUUGUACCAUAUAGCAUUGCAUUGCACAACCAGUCUGCUUGUGGUUGUGCGAGUCUAUUACACACAAACAAAAAUAUUUGAAAUAAAUGCCUUUUAUGAUUGUA